This 440-nucleotide ribosomal RNA is filed under the name uncultured bacterium. RNAcentral's name for it is "partial 16S ribosomal RNA". It matches the Rfam family "Bacterial small subunit ribosomal RNA", at positions 338 to 795 of the family's 1533-position model. The record is from RNAcentral.
CCUACGGGAGGCAGCAGUAGGGAAUAUUGCUCAAUGGGGGAAACCCUGAAGCAGCAACGCCGCGUGGAGGAUGAAGGUUUUCGGAUUGUAAACUCCUUUUUUUAGAGAAGAUAAUGGCUGUAUCUAACGGAUAAGCACCGGCUAACGCCGUGCCAGCAGCCGCGGUAAUAGUGAGGGUGCAAGCGUUACUCGGAAUGAUGGGGCGUAAAGAGCGCGUAGGCGGGAUAGCAAGUCAGAUGUGAAAUCCUAUGGCUUAACCAUAGAAUUGCAUUUGAAAAUGUUAUUCUUGAGUAUGGUAGAGGUAGGUGGAAUUCUUGGUGUAGGGGUAAAAUGCGUAGAGAUCAAGAGGAACACUGAUUGCGAAGGCGGCCUGCUAGACCAUAACUGACGCUGAUGCGCGAAAGCGUGGGGAGCAAACAGGAUUAGAUACCCCUGUAGUC